UCAAGCGUGAGUUUUCAAACAGACGUAUGUAACAUCAGCAAGAAUCUGAGAAAAUGGAGUAACAAAUUUCUAUUUGUAUGAAUAAAUGCUAUUUAAAAUUGUUUGCUCUAUGAUCGGGUUUGAUUUUAGCAAGAGUUCAGUGAAAAAAAUAUGUUUUUAUUGUAUGUUUCAACAUACUGUUUUUUUUGUCAUUUUCCUAGCGAAUUUGAUAAAAAAAAUGUUUUACGCCGUUUUGUCGUGUAAUUUUUACAUACACCCUAAUGAUUCGUCGUUGUGGCAGUUCUUUGUUUACAUACGCCCUAUACUAUUCGUCGCUCGAGCUAAUUGUUUUUAUUUUACGUCAAAUCGGAUACACCAGUAUUAAUCAGUUUAUUUCAGAGAGUCGGUUUGAUAACCAUCAAGUUUGGAUGGAAAAGCAUUGAAAGAAUUAGACAACCAGCACUCGUAUUGAAGCACCGAUCGAAUGUUAUUCGGUAGCACAUAAAAAGCAAUGCUUAGCUCUCUCUCGAAUUUCCCGGCGAGAUCUUCUAGUGGACGUAGCGUAGUGUUUAUUAUUCUAGCUGUAUAUUUCUUUCCAUUCUGUAAUGAAAAUCUGGAAGGAUAUUUUCAUCGGAGAUGAGAUACUCUCGAACACAUACAAGCUGAUGCUGGUUGACGAUGUGAUGUACAGAAUUAACGGGAAGCGUGUGUCGCGCACCCUUGGAGGUGUCCAGGUGGAUGGCGCAAAUUCCCCUGCACCGAAAAUUUCACCGAAUCCAGUGUCGACAUCAUGCUGAGUCAUCGCCUGGUAGAGACUGGAUUAGGCGACGAGAAACAGUUCACCCCAUUCCUGAAGGACUACAUGAAGAAAAAUAUUGUAGAAUAAUGUAGCUUUUGUGUAAAAGUUUAUUUUUACAUUUAAAUAAACAUGGAACAAUAAACAAAAAGUAGUGGAAAAAAAAGUAAGCAAA
This is a long non-coding RNA of Wyeomyia smithii (pitcher-plant mosquito), 950 nucleotides long. RefSeq lists it as uncharacterized. The record is from RefSeq and is a predicted model, not a curated record. NCBI's taxonomy places the organism in Eukaryota, Metazoa, Arthropoda, Insecta, Diptera, Culicidae. The transcript is spliced from 2 exons.